AAAUAUGAAGCAAAUUAUUUGCAUUUAAUUUCGACUUAAAAGAAUGAGUUAAUUAUUACUCCUUAUUUA
This 69-nucleotide transfer RNA is filed under the name Megathymus beulahae beulahae. RNAcentral's name for it is "tRNA-Arg". Lineage: Eukaryota; Metazoa; Arthropoda; Insecta; Lepidoptera; Hesperiidae. The record is from RNAcentral.